UACAGAGGGUGCGAGCGUUAAUCGGAAUUACUGGGCGUAAAGGGUGCGUAGGUGGCUGCGUAAGUUAGGUGUGAAAUUCCUGGGCUUAACCUGGGGACUGCGCCUGAUACUGCGCGACUAGAGUACUGUAGAGGAAGGUGGAAUUUCCAGUGUAGCGGUGAAAUGCGUAGAUAUUGGAAGGAACAUCGGUGGCGAAGGCGACCUUCUGGACAGAUACUGACACUGAGGCACGAAAGCAUGGGGAGCAAACAGG
This 253-nucleotide ribosomal RNA is filed under the name uncultured bacterium. RNAcentral's name for it is "partial 16S ribosomal RNA". It matches the Rfam family "Bacterial small subunit ribosomal RNA", at positions 524 to 776 of the family's 1533-position model. The record is from RNAcentral.